AGACUCUCAGUGAAGACAGUUCCUCCUGCAGCACAGAGAACCUGCACCAUGUCUCCAGCUGUCAUUGCAUUGCUUCUCCUCUCACUAUCAUAUGGAGCUGAGAGUGUGGAGUUUGAGCCAACUCAUCCAAAAAUAGUCAACGACAAAGCCAGGGUAGAAAUUAAAUGUAGUCACAAUGAUGGCAACCUGGAUGUAAUGCUCUGGUACCAACAAACUGAGAGAGGUCUGAUGAAUUUAAUUGGAUAUGGCUACUCUGGUAUAGAGCCGAACUAUGAGAAGGAGUUUGAAAAUGGAUUUGAGAUAACAAGAGAAGACAUCCUGAGAGGAGCUCUGAUUAUUCCCAGUGUGACUCCAUCAGACUCGGCUGUGUAUUUCUGCGCUGCCAGUACACAGUGAUGUGGUUUAGAGCCACUCCCUCACUAAAACUCUCUCACAUGGUCUCUGCAUACAGACUCUCAGUGAAGACAGUUCCUCCUGCAGCACAGAGAACCUGGACCAUGUCUCCAGCUGUGAUCGCAUUGCUUCUCCUCUCACUAUCAUAUGGAGCUGAGAGUGUGGAGUUUGAGCCAACUCAUCCAAAAAUAUACAACGAGAAAGCCAGGGUAGAAAUUAAAUGCAGUCACAAUGAUGGCAACCUGGAUAUAAUGCUCUGGUAUCAAAAAACUGAGAGAGGUCUGAUGAAUUUAAUUGGAUACAGCUAUACUGGCAGUGAGCCCAACUAUGAGAAGGAGUUUGAAAAUGGAUUUGAGAUAACAAGAGAAGACAUCCUGAGAGGAGCUCUGAUUAUUCCCAGUGUGACUCCAUCAGACUCGGCUGUGUAUUUCUGCGCUGCCAGAGUACACAGUGAUGUGGUUUGGAGCCACUCCCUCACUAAAACUCUCUCACAUGGUCUCUGCAUACAGACUCUCAGUGAAGACAGUUCCUCCUGCAGCACAGAGAACCUGGACCAUGUCUCCAGCUGUCAUCACAUUGCUUCUCAUCUCACUAUCAUAUGGAGCUGAGAGUGUGGAGUUUGACCCGACUCAUCCCAGAAUAGUCAACGACAAAGCCAGGGAAGAAAUUAAAUGCAGUCACAAUGAUAACGGCAUGAAUGUAAUGCUGUGGUACCAACAAACAGAGAGAGGUCUGAUGAAAUUCAUUGGAUACAGCUACGGUAGUGAUCCCAGCUAUGAGAAGGAGUUUGAAAAGCGGUUUGAGAUAACAAGAGAAGACACAAUGAGAGGAGCUCUGAUUAUUAAAAGUCUAAAUCUAUCAGACUCGGCUGUGUAUUUCUGCGCUGCCAGUACACAGUGAUGUGGUUUAAUGCCUCUCCCUCACUAAAACCCUGCUCUCAUUUUUCUCUGGUGUGUUCAUGUUCAAGAUCCUGAGACUGCCUAACAGAUCUCAGCAUGCACAGAGAGAUCAUAAUGUUAAGGACAUUGGGCUGAACAGAUAUAGGCAAAUUCUACAAUGUUGUAGACAUAGCUGAACAUAAAAUAAAAUUAAAAAACAAAUAAGAAGGUAACGUAUGUAAAAUGAUGUGCAUUGCACUACAAUAUAUAGCAAUAAAUAUGAAACUUAAAGUAGCGACAGUAAAAGU
Trematomus bernacchii (emerald rockcod) is the source of this 1579-nucleotide non-coding RNA. NCBI's taxonomy places the organism in Eukaryota, Metazoa, Chordata, Actinopteri, Perciformes, Nototheniidae. The record is from the annotation of a RefSeq genome assembly.